UUAAGCGACUAAGCGUACACGGUGGAUGCCCUGGCAGUCAGAGGCGAUGAAGGACGUGCUAAUCUGCGAUAAGCGUCGGUAAGGUGAUAUGAACCGUUAUAACCGGCGAUUUCCGAAUGGGGAAACCCAGUGUGUUUCGACACACUAUCAUUAACUGAAUCCAUAGGUUAAUGAGGCGAACCGGGGGAACUGAAACAUCUAAGUACCCCGAGGAAAAGAAAUCAACCGAGAUUCCCCCAGUAGCGGCGAGCGAACGGGGAGGAGCCCAGAGCCUGAAUCAGUGUGUGUGUUAGUGGAAGCGUCUGGAAAGGCGCGCGAUACAGGGUGACAGCCCCGUACACAAAAAUACACAUAUUGUGAGCUCGAUGAGUAGGGCGGGACACGUGGUAUCCUGUCUGAAUAUGGGGGGACCAUCCUCCAAGGCUAAAUACUCCUGACUGACCGAUAGUGAACCAGUACCGUGAGGGAAAGGCGAAAAGAACCCCGGCGAGGGGAGUGAAAAAGAACCUGAAACCGUGUACGUACAAGCAGUGGGAGCACGCUUAGGCGUGUGACUGCGUACCUUUUGUAUAAUGGGUCAGCGACUUAUAUUCUGUAGCAAGGUUAACCGAAUAGGGGAGCCGAAGGGAAACCGAGUCUUAACUGGGCGUUAAGUUGCAGGGUAUAGACCCGAAACCCGGUGAUCUAGCCAUGGGCAGGUUGAAGGUUGGGUAACACUAACUGGAGGACCGAACCGACUAAUGUUGAAAAAUUAGCGGAUGACUUGUGGCUGGGGGUGAAAGGCCAAUCAAACCGGGAGAUAGCUGGUUCUCCCCGAAAGCUAUUUAGGUAGCGCCUCGUGAAUUCAUCUCCGGGGGUAGAGCACUGUUUCGGCAAGGGGGUCAUCCCGACUUACCAACCCGAUGCAAACUGCGAAUACCGGAGAAUGUUAUCACGGGAGACACACGGCGGGUGCUAACGUCCGUCGUGAAGAGGGAAACAACCCAGACCGCCAGCUAAGGUCCCAAAGUCAUGGUUAAGUGGGAAACGAUGUGGGAAGGCCCAGACAGCCAGGAUGUUGGCUUAGAAGCAGCCAUCAUUUAAAGAAAGCGUAAUAGCUCACUGGUCGAGUCGGCCUGCGCGGAAGAUGUAACGGGGCUAAACCAUGCACCGAAGCUGCGGCAGCGACGCUUAUGCGUUGUUGGGUAGGGGAGCGUUCUGUAAGCCUGCGAAGGUGUGCUGUGAGGCAUGCUGGAGGUAUCAGAAGUGCGAAUGCUGACAUAAGUAACGAUAAAGCGGGUGAAAAGCCCGCUCGCCGGAAGACCAAGGGUUCCUGUCCAACGUUAAUCGGGGCAGGGUGAGUCGACCCCUAAGGCGAGGCCGAAAGGCGUAGUCGAUGGGAAACAGGUUAAUAUUCCUGUACUUGGUGUUACUGCGAAGGGGGACGGAGAAGGCUAUGUUGGCCGGGCGACGGUUGUCCCGGUUUAAGCGUGUAGGCUGGUUUUCCAGGCAAAUCCGGAAAAUCAAGGCUGAGGCGUGAUGACGAGGCACUACGGUGCUGAAGCAACAAAUGCCCUGCUUCCAGGAAAAGCCUCUAAGCAUCAGGUAACAUCAAAUCGUACCCCAAACCGACACAGGUGGUCAGGUAGAGAAUACCAAGGCGCUUGAGAGAACUCGGGUGAAGGAACUAGGCAAAAUGGUGCCGUAACUUCGGGAGAAGGCACGCUGAUAUGUAGGUGAAGUCCCUUGCGGAUGGAGCUGAAAUCAGUCGAAGAUACCAGCUGGCUGCAACUGUUUAUUAAAAACACAGCACUGUGCAAACACGAAAGUGGACGUAUACGGUGUGACGCCUGCCCGGUGCCGGAAGGUUAAUUGAUGGGUCAGCGCAAGCGAAGCUCUUGAUCGAAGCCCCGGUAAACGGCGGCCGUAACUAUAACGGUCCUAAGGUAGCGAAAUUCCUUGUCGGGUAAGUUCCGACCUGCACGAAUGGCGUAAUGAUGGCCAGGCUGUCUCCACCCGAGACUCAGUGAAAUUGAACUCGCUGUGAAGAUGCAGUGUACCCGCGGCAAGACGGAAAGACCCCGUGAACCUUUACUAUAGCUUGACACUGAACAUUGAGCCUUGAUGUGUAGGAUAGGUGGGAGGCUUUGAAGUGUGGACGCCAGUCUGCAUGGAGCCGGCCUUGAAAUACCACCCUUUAAUGUUUGAUGUUCUAACGUGGACCCGUGAUCCGGGUUGCGGACAGUGUCUGGUGGGUAGUUUGACUGGGGCGGUCUCCUCCUAAAGAGUAACGGAGGAGCACGAAGGUUGGCUAAUCCUGGUCGGACAUCAGGAGGUUAGUGCAAUGGCAUAAGCCAGCUUGACUGCGAGCGUGACGGCGCGAGCAGGUGCGAAAGCAGGUCAUAGUGAUCCGGUGGUUCUGAAUGGAAGGGCCAUCGCUCAACGGAUAAAAGGUACUCCGGGGAUAACAGGCUGAUACCGCCCAAGAGUUCAUAUCGACGGCGGUGUUUGGCACCUCGAUGUCGGCUCAUCACAUCCUGGGGCUGAAGUAGGUCCCAAGGGUAUGGCUGUUCGCCAUUUAAAGUGGUACGCGAGCUGGGUUUAGAACGUCGUGAGACAGUUCGGUCCCUAUCUGCCGUGGGCGCUGGAGAACUGAGGGGGGCUGCUCCUAGUACGAGAGGACCGGAGUGGACGCAUCACUGGUGUUCGGGUUGUCAUGCCAAUGGCACUGCCCGGUAGCUAAAUGCGGAAGAGAUAAGUGCUGAAAGCAUCUAAGCACGAAACUUGCCCCGAGAUGAGUUCUCCCUGACCCUUUAAGGGUCCUGAAGGAACGUUGAAGACGACGACGUUGAUAGGCCGGGUGUGUAAGCGCAGCGAUGCGUUGAGCUAACCGGUACUAAUGAACCGUGAGGCUUAACCUU
RNAcentral lists this ribosomal RNA (2900 nucleotides) under Shigella sonnei 53G. RNAcentral describes it as "bacterial LSU rRNA". It matches the Rfam family "Bacterial large subunit ribosomal RNA". Lineage: Bacteria; Pseudomonadati; Pseudomonadota; Gammaproteobacteria; Enterobacterales; Enterobacteriaceae. The record is from RNAcentral.